RNAcentral lists this transfer RNA (125 nucleotides) under Burkholderia cepacia. RNAcentral's name for it is "tRNA-OTHER". It matches the Rfam family "tRNA". Rfam says of the family: Transfer RNA (tRNA) molecules are approximately 80 nucleotides in length. Their secondary structure includes four short double-helical elements and three loops (D, anti-codon, and T loops). Further hydrogen bonds mediate the characteristic L-shaped molecular structure. tRNAs have two regions of fundamental functional importance: the anti-codon, which is responsible for specific mRNA codon recognition, and the 3' end, to which the tRNAs corresponding amino acid is attached (by aminoacyl-tRNA synthetases). tRNAs cope with the degeneracy of the genetic code in two manners: having more than one tRNA (with a specific anti-codon) for a particular amino acid; and 'wobble' base-pairing, i.e. permitting non-standard base-pairing at the 3rd anti-codon position. RNAcentral also lists the same sequence under 8 other names. The record is from RNAcentral. Lineage: Bacteria; Pseudomonadati; Pseudomonadota; Betaproteobacteria; Burkholderiales; Burkholderiaceae.
CGCAGCGUAGCUCAAAGGAUAGAGCGCCGACGCUAGAACCACUCGCGGAGAGUGGGUGUACGACGGUUGGGUGGUGCCUCCAUCGUACCGCGUCGGAGAUCCGGGUUCAAUUCCCGGCGCUGCUC